RNAcentral lists this ribosomal RNA (390 nucleotides) under Triticum aestivum (bread wheat). Its description in RNAcentral is "partial small subunit ribosomal RNA". Lineage: Eukaryota; Viridiplantae; Streptophyta; Magnoliopsida; Poales; Poaceae. The record is from RNAcentral.
AUGCACCACCCCGGGACACCCUCGUUCUGCUCUUCCGAUUCCCUGCCUCGCCUCGCGGGACAGAGCUCGAUAUCGAGCGUAGCAACCCCGGUGAGCUCCGCCAUCCUAAGCAGCGCCGACGUGAAAUUCUCCCGCCUCGGACCGCACCAAAUCGACCUCCCCAGCAAAACAAAUCUCGCCGGAGCAUACCAUCACCGUUGCAUGUUCAUCCGCCCACCAUCGUCGCUACAGGAUGCACCGGAACUCCCCGAGGACACCAAAGGCCUCCCCAUGAACCUCCUAGUCUUCCAGCAUCUUCACCGAUCUCCUACGGCCAUCGGGAGCAACGCCGUCGCCGAUCAGGGCCAUCGCCGUCUCCUCUAUUCCAAUUGCUCGGAGCGUGACGAGUAG